CACCGGCGGCUCGAGUGGUAACCGUUAUUAUUGGGGUCUAAAGGGUCUGUAGCCGGCCGGAUAAGUCUCUUGAGAAAUCUGGCAGCUUAACUGUCAGGCUUUCAGGAGAUACUGUCUGGCUCGAGGCCGGGAGAGGUGAGAGGUACUUCAGGGGUAGGGUGAAAUCUUGUAAUCCUUGAAGGACCACCAGUGGCGAAGGCGUCUCACCAGAACGGACCUGACGGCAAGGGACGAAAGCUAGGGGCACGAACGGAUUAGAUACCCGCGUAGUCCCUGAGCGGGCU
This 284-nucleotide ribosomal RNA is filed under the name uncultured prokaryote. Its description in RNAcentral is "partial 16S ribosomal RNA". It matches the Rfam family "Archaeal small subunit ribosomal RNA", at positions 474 to 756 of the family's 1478-position model. The record is from RNAcentral.